This is a small nuclear RNA of Jaculus jaculus (lesser Egyptian jerboa), 105 nucleotides long. NCBI's taxonomy places the organism in Eukaryota, Metazoa, Chordata, Mammalia, Rodentia, Dipodidae. The record is from Ensembl.
GUGCUUGCUUUGGCAAUACAGAUGCUAAAAUUGGAAGGAUACAGAGAAAAUUAGUGGCCCUCGUGCAAGGAUAAUAUGCAAAUUUGUAAAGCACUUCAUAUUAAA